This is a long non-coding RNA of Myiozetetes cayanensis, 532 nucleotides long. RefSeq lists it as uncharacterized. The transcript is spliced from 6 exons. The record is from RefSeq and is a predicted model, not a curated record. Lineage: Eukaryota; Metazoa; Chordata; Aves; Passeriformes; Tyrannidae.
GUUCACUUCUCAGCCCUAGGGGAGGUACCUGUUCAUUCUCACCCCAGGGGGAGGUACCUGUUACUUCUCACCUCAGGGGGAGGUACCUGUUCAUUCUCACCUCAGGGGGAGGUACCUGUUCACUCUAACCCAGGGGGAGUUACCUGCCCGUUCCUCAUCCCAGGGAGAGGUACCUGUUCAUUGUCACCCAGGGGAAGGUACCUGUUCAUUCCUCACCCCAGGGGAGGUACCUGUUCACUCCUCAGCCUAGGGGGAGGUACCUGCCCAUUUCUCACCCCAGGAGGAGGUACCUGUUCAUUCUCACCCCAGGGGGAGGUACCUGCCCAUUUCUCACCUCAGAGGGAGGUACCUGCCCAUUUCUCACCCCAGGGGGAGGUACCUGCCCAUUUCUUACCCCAGGAGGAGGUACCUGCCCAUUUCUUACCCCAGGGGGAGGUACCUGCCCGUUCCUCAGCCCAGGGGGAGGCCCCAGUUGCUCCUCCCAGGCCGUACCGUGACCGAGGGCUGACCAAACCACCCCCGACCUCACGGG